GGAAGAGUUCGAGCAAAUAACGGAUCUUUGCGUCACUCACGUGAAUGAGUUUCUUCAAUGGAGCACAAAAGAAGAUAUUAUAAGAAAUGUCUCGGUGUUUUUGUCCUUACAGUCAAAGGACAGGAUUGAAGGAUGUGAGGAAGAAAGAACAUUAUAAUACUGGCUUGGACUGACAUGAGGUGAAUAACAUCAGCUGUACGUCGAGAUCGCUGAGCGAGCGUCGUAACGCCCCGCGCUAGCGAAGAGUUUUAGGAGAGACAGAAAGCAUGAGAAGAGAGGACCGGGAGACACCUCGAGCUGCGAGUCGCUCAGAGCCGAAGUCACAAAACCAGGUGAUGGUUCCAGCGGAGAUGUUGUUCGGGGGGGCGAGAGCGCUGUCACGGCCUGAAAGCUCAGCACACUUGAAGCUGGAAUCCAUUUAUUCCCCAGGCCAGGCCUAAUUACCCCUCUCUGCCACAGACUCUGAAAGCGACUUCUGGUUUUCUGUGCCGGAUCAAAGAAGACGGAUGUCGGGCGAUUGGGCCGCUGACAUAAUGCACUGUGGCACGCAGCUUGCUUUUAUUAGCACAAGCCUGUUAUUUCCCCGCGACUCUAAGUGUAGACGGGCAGUGAUAAAUGCUGUCGCACACGCUUGAUGCGAUUCAUUUGUCAACGGCCUGAAAAAGCAAACUGUCCCAUCAUGCAGCAGGAGCGCUCCUGAGGGACUCCAGCUCUGCUGAUAAUGAAGCCUGUCAUCUCCGCUCACCUCCACGCCGGACACACUUCCAGCUCCAAACGGCUCCUCCAUCGAUUCCCUGCUAUUUUCCAAAGCGGCUCUGUGCGUCUGGCUGAAAUACCCUCCCAGAGCUCUUCAGAGCCGCACUUGUUGGUUGAAGAUGUUGUAACAGGUCACAGUGGAGACGUCAGUGUCUGCACGCCUCAAGAUCUGAAUCAUACCAUCCCCUCCAAGACUUUGCCAAACACCACGUGUUUUCCGUCCAGCCACGGCGCUCUGGCUAAAGUAAUGAAGAACUGCGAGCCGUUGGUGUCCGGCCCGGCGUUUGCCAUGCUGACCCAACCUGCGCCCAG
Onychostoma macrolepis is the source of this 1068-nucleotide long non-coding RNA. RefSeq lists it as uncharacterized. The record is from RefSeq and is a predicted model, not a curated record. The transcript has 8 exons. Lineage: Eukaryota; Metazoa; Chordata; Actinopteri; Cypriniformes; Cyprinidae.